CAUUAAAUGACUGAAAUCAAUAAGUUUUGAUUUUUUAAAUCAAUCAUAAUAGAAUAAUUACUAUUUUUAAUGG
This 73-nucleotide transfer RNA is filed under the name Acropyga smithii. Its description in RNAcentral is "tRNA-Lys". Lineage: Eukaryota; Metazoa; Arthropoda; Insecta; Hymenoptera; Formicidae. The record is from RNAcentral.